Podarcis lilfordi (Lilford's wall lizard) is the source of this 75-nucleotide non-coding RNA. Lineage: Eukaryota; Metazoa; Chordata; Lepidosauria; Squamata; Lacertidae. The record is from the annotation of a GenBank genome assembly.
GGCCAUAGCUCAAUGGUAGGGUGUCUGCUUUACAUGCAGAAUGUCCCAGGUUCAAUCCCCAGCAUCUCAGGGCUA